AGACCCGAAACCCGGUGAUCUAGCCAUGGGCAGGUUGAAGGUUGGGUAACACUAACUGGAGGACCGAACCGACUAAUGUUGAAAAAUUAGCGGAUGACCUGUGGCUGGGGGUGAAAGGCCAAUCAAACCGGGAGAUAGCUGGUUCUCCCCGAAAGCUAUUUAGGUAGCGCCUCGUGAAUUCAUCUCCGGGGGUAGAGCACUGUUUCGGCUAGGGGGCCAUCCCGGCUUACCAACCCGAUGCAAACUGCGAAUACCGGAGAAUGUUAUCACGGGAGACACACGGCGGGUGCUAACGUCCGUCGUGAAGAGGGAAACAACCCAGACCGCCAGCUAAGGUCCCAAAGUCAUGGUUAAGUGGGAAACGAUGUGGGAAGGCCCAGACAGCCAGGAUGUUGGCUUAGAAGCAGCCAUCAUUUAAAGAAAGCGUAAUAGCUCACUGGUCGAGUCGGCCUGCGCGGAAGAUGUAACGGGGCUAAACCAUGCACCGAAGCUGCGGCAGCGAACGUAUCACCCAAGACAACUUUGCGGAGUUGACGAUUGACGGAGCGAAGCG
RNAcentral lists this ribosomal RNA (553 nucleotides) under Salmonella enterica. RNAcentral's name for it is "partial 23S ribosomal RNA". It matches the Rfam family "Bacterial large subunit ribosomal RNA", at positions 711 to 1226 of the family's 2925-position model. The record is from RNAcentral. Lineage: Bacteria; Pseudomonadati; Pseudomonadota; Gammaproteobacteria; Enterobacterales; Enterobacteriaceae.